RNAcentral lists this ribosomal RNA (508 nucleotides) under uncultured bacterium. RNAcentral's name for it is "bacterial SSU rRNA". It matches the Rfam family "Bacterial small subunit ribosomal RNA", at positions 29 to 518 of the family's 1533-position model. The record is from RNAcentral.
AUGAACGCUGGCGGCGUGCCUAACACAUGCAAGUCGAACGAAGCAUACGGACUGGAGAUUCGUCGAAGGAUCGUAUGACUUAGUGGCGGACGGGUGAGUAAUGUAUGAGCAACCUGCCUUCAGAGGGGGACAACAGUUGGAAACGACUGCUAAUACCGCGUAAUGUAUCGUGAGGGCAUCCUCGUGAUACCAAAGGAGCAAUCCGCUGAAAGAUGGGCUCAUAUCUGAUUAGCUUGUUGGCGGGUAACGGCCCACCAAGGCGACGAUCAGUAGCCGGACUGAGAGGUUGAACGGCCACAUUGGGACUGAGAUACGGCCCAAACUCCUACGGGAGGCAGCAGUGAGGAAUAUUGGUCAAUGGGCGAGAGCCUGAACCAGCCAAGUAGCCGUGCAGGAUGACGGCCCUAUGGGUUGUAAACUGCUUUUAUACAGGGAUAAAGUCGGGGACGUGUCCUCGUUUGUAGGUACUGUAUGAAUAAGGACCGGCUAAUUCCGUGCCAGCCGCCGC